GGAAUAUAUCAGAAUAUUUGGUCGUUGCCUUCUUGAGAGUUUUCUGCCUUUAUCUUCAGAAAGCAUUGAGCUAAAGUUUCAUGUGAGAAUCCUUUAUGAGCUGUUCCUUAUUUAGCUCUUGAAGGAUUAUCAAAUCUCAAACUUUUUCUAUCAAAAAAUUUUCUGGUUUUAUGCUUCAUGUGUGUUGGUAGUUCAUGCAUGAUUUGUGCCUUGAGGUGAUUGACAACCGAGGUGAGAGUUGUGCCAUCUUAAGAUUGACAAAGGAGAAAAAGGUCGUUGAUUUGGAAGUAGCAAAGACGAGGAGACACCGCUGCCCACUAGAUUGGUUCUAGUAGAUGAGUUGUGUAAGAUCUUUAUGUACUUUCAUAUUCAUAUAGUGGAUUGUUCAACAGCAUAGUGCCCGCAGUUGUUUACCUCUUUGGAGGGUUUUACUGCGUCAACAGAUCUUGUGUUAUGUGUGAUGAUUUUACUUUGGAUGGUUUUGGCAAAUUGAAUAAAUCAUAACGUCAUCAAAGAUCUGCAGUUUCAAUUAGGAUUCAAGUUUUAUUGCAAUCCUAUAUUAGGAUGCGAAGAGGUCUGCACUCGUAAGACUGAUUUCUAAAGUUGUUGACAUAUUGAUCAGUUUCGUUAGUUGAGAAUUACAUACAUCCAUUCUGUAAUUACAAGAAGGAAAAGAAGAAUCGAAGAGAGGGGAAGAUCUCGCUGAUAACCGUUCGGUUUGGAACUCUGCCACUUAGAUCAAGAUCGAAAAAAGCAAAAUAAAAGAAAAGAAGGAAAAGAAGAAUCGAAGAGAGGGGAAGAUCUCGCUGAUAACCGUCGGGUUUGGAACUCUGCCACUUAGAUCAAGAUAAAAAAAAGCAAAAGAAGAGAAAAGACGGAAAAGAAGAAUAGAAAAGAGGAGAAGAUCUCGCUGAGAGAAGAGAAAUAUUGUAGCAACAUGUGUUUGAAUCUUUGGAAGCUUCCCAAUGCCAACUGGUAAAUGGUCUGAUACUUAUUAGUCAGGAAAAAAGAGAACACGAGAAGAGGCCCUCCCCUCAAAGGUUUCAAUGAGAGUUUCAAAUAGGAUUGCAGCUUGCAAAAGCCUCGGAACUUUUCUGAUCGCUGCUGACCUUCAGUCAGGUAGUUUAAAGUCAAUGGAAAAGAUAAGUUUUGCAGCAGAAUCUCAGGCAAAGAGGGAAUGCUCUAAGGAAUGUAAGGAAGCUAUUGCACCACUGAUGCAUGCUGCAGCUAGAUUUUCUGGUUUACCAGAGUACAUUCUCUGACAUUAGGCAACUAUUUCUAGAGAGAAAUAUGAACUGUCUGACUCAUUGUGUACAUCAAAAGUUUUUGAUGUGUUCUACUGUAUCACAACCUUGGCUUUGGGAAGGCACAAGAGAUCUUGGAAAGAAAGCAUCUUCACAUUCUUCAACCAUUUCAGAUUGAGCUGAGAGGUGACAAAAAAUAGGAGAGAGUUGAUACAGCCGGCAAAAAAACUCCCCAAACUAAGCAGGUUGUUGACAACAAACUACUAGAGCAUAUACUGUAAACAAAUGAGAGUUAAGGAAAAGUAGCUGCAAGAGUCUCUCAGGUUGAAGAUUGAAGAUUGUUGGGUAAUAGUGUAAAAAGCAACAAUCCAGGAACUAUAGAAUUAUUGUGGUUGUGGGUGCAGCUGCUGUUCUGUGUAUUACCAGAUUAAAGGUGCUAUUUUUCUAAGAAGUUGUUUUCCUUCUUCUUUUUUUUUUUUUGGUUUCCUGUGCUUUGGUUGCAAUGUGGGUUGACAAUGUGAUUACAAAGUUUGGCUCUCUUUUCUUGCUGUUAGUCCAAAAGUUAUAAGCAAAAUGUAGCUAAUAUUACUCAUCUUGAAGUUUGUCCAGAUUAGUAUUUGUUAAAGUCUGAACUCACCUUUUCUUCUUUUCUUGCCAUGACAAAUGAAGUUGAUGAACCAAACCAACAGAACAAAAUAGUAUAACCAUCAAAACAAAGUUUUUCUUUUUUUUUCUUUUUUUUCCCUUUUUCUUUAGAAGAUGUGGUUUUGUUAGUACUAUAACUUGAAGAUUAUAGCAUGACAUUUUAUCUUUCCUGGUGAGACUUGAGUGUUUUUCAUUUAUGUCAGAAUAUGAUUUUUAAGUUUUAGUAUUGACAUAGAGUGCAAACUAAUUUUACUUGAACACCAUGAACAAUGGAUUUGAUUCAAAUUCAUAAAGCAGUCAUAUUGUAAAAGUACAUAGAUGAACUGCCUUUCAAGUUAUUUCAUGAAAUACACUUUCAUCAGUUAUUGUUGAGCUUCAUUUCAUUUGGUUUGCGCUUAAAUCAUUUUGCAGACUUGCAUGCUUCAGCAUUCUGUUUUCUGACAAAAAAACACUUUCAGUACAAUAUCAUCUUUUCAUAGAUGGUAUCUUCUGUUCAAUGAUUUAAUGAGCAUAUUGCUAAAAUUUUGUUCAAACCUAGAAAAUUGACCUCCGAAGUUUUCACAAGAUCACUGAUAUCUAUUUUCUCAUUCUACCUAAAUUUUCAUUAAACUUCUUUAUAAAUUUCUUUCGUCACUUUUACAAUUUUAAUUUCUAUCAUAAUUUAUACUAGAUCUUCAAUUUCUACAAGAUCCAUAGUCAGAUUUUUAACUUUUGGUAGAUGAUUGCAGAUGGAUAAUUUUUCGAUUAUACAUGGAUAUGAUGGAUGUUCGUUUCAAAAGCAUUACAUUGACCAGGAUUCGGGGGAUAGCUUUGUCUUAUCAAGAGCUCACAAGUAUAGAUUACAGUGCUAUUAUAUUGAACCACGUAUUGUGCUGCUUGGCAUAUAAAUUAUGGAUUCUGUUUGUUCUUAUUGUAUUUCCUGUGCUGGAGUUUAAAUAUCUAGCUAAUGAUAGGUCAAUUCACAGAUUGGUAUUGAUCAUUCUGGAACAUAAAACAUUCCUAAAAGCCUUGAGACAUCUCAGGAGACUUUUGCUGUCCCCAAGAGCCUUGAGAAGUCGUAUCAGGCUUUUGCUGCCCCCAUCCUCCUUCAGAAAUAUCAAGAGAAUUUUGCCGACCCCAAAUGCCUGGAGAAGAAGCAUCAGCAGGCUUUUUCUUCCCCCAAGCACCUUUAGACAACUUGGCCUGUCCCGAAGUUCCCUCAGAAGAACCAUCAGCAAGCUUUUGCUGCCCCCAAGUACCUUCUGAAGUAGUAUCCGCAUUUUGCUGCCCCCAAGCACCUUUAAAAAUCUCAGGAGACUUUUGCCAUCCCCAACUGCCCUGAGAAGUAUUGGAGGCUUUUCGUCCCCCCAAGCACCUUUAGAAAUCUCAGGGGACUUUUGUCGUCCCCAAAUUCCCUGAGAAGAAGCAUCAAGUGCCUUCUGAAGUAGUAUCGACAUUUUGCUGCCCCCAAGAAUGACGGGCAGUAGACUUAUCUUCAGCUUAAAUAUCUAAACUGUUAUGUAAAGCAUAUUCAAACAUUUCUGCAGUCUUCGAUCUUCAGCCAAACCGUUGGCUUCAAAGUUUGGCUGAGAAGGGAAAUCCAAGCUCUUAUGCAGAAAUGUGUAAGCCAUGCAUUACCAAUAUGAUGGAGUUCAAUUCUAUUAAAGUACCUGAAUGACGUCAACAGGUAGUGCAACACUUGAACAUCAGAACCUUAUCACAUCAACAAUUUUUGGUCAUAUUAUUUUCAGCCUGCUUUCAAAACCCUAUCACAUCAACAAUUUUUGGAUUAUACAAUGAUCAAGAAAGAUCACAAUCCUUUUGCGCUGUUUUCUGGAGCUUUGGCUCAGCUUUUACAACAAAGUGGAUUACAGCUCACUGUAUGCUACUGCAGACAUUCCAGAAUGAAUCAAAGCUGAUGAAAGUCUCUUCUAGACUAAAUUAACAAGCACAAAUUCCAAAAGCAAAAGCGGAAAACUUAUUCAGCUGAUUUCAUUCUGAUCAUCUAAGUCACCUAUGAUGACCUGGAAAUUGAACUAGGAGGCUGGCAGAAGCAAAAAUUCCAGAAGAAAUUCAACAAGUUUGCAAGGAAGUUCAAGCAAAGUUCAGUUACCAGCCCUGUUUAUCUGCACUCAAAAUUGUAUUCUGUCUCCAAGAACUAUAUUCAGUUGGUAGUCCUGUUCAUUAUACGGGCAUUUGCUCUUUCAGUUUCAGUUUCAUGUCAACUAUAUUCAGUCUCAGUUUCAGUUGGCAGUCAUGUUCAUUACACAACUACUUAUGUAUAUAAUCACUAACUUUCCUAAACAAUUCACUAACAAUCCUAA
Molecule: long non-coding RNA, 4192 nt
Organism: Rosa chinensis
Lineage: Eukaryota; Viridiplantae; Streptophyta; Magnoliopsida; Rosales; Rosaceae
Exons: 13
Source: RefSeq, a predicted model, not a curated record